Long non-coding RNA from Drosophila eugracilis, 804 nucleotides. RefSeq lists it as uncharacterized. NCBI's taxonomy places the organism in Eukaryota, Metazoa, Arthropoda, Insecta, Diptera, Drosophilidae. The transcript has 12 exons. The record is from RefSeq and is a predicted model, not a curated record.
UGAAAACCUUAUAAUAUUCUCUUAUUUUAAAAAACUUCGUACCGUUAAGUGCGUGUUAAAGAAAACUUGAAAAUGAUUACAUCAAAGCCAAGUUACAAAAAAUGGAUUUGUUUUAAAACAAAGAAAAGUUAAUUUACCAAUCGGAUGCCAACGUAAUAAAUGGAUUAAAAAUACGGAAAACACGUGGCCUGAAAAAGAGAGCACCGGCCGGCAUUGCCAUCCAUAGCUUUGCAUACCGAGUAGCCGCCAUUUUGAUGGAACUAUCUGGAAAAAUGUGAUUAAGUUUCAGAAUUUUUGUUGUGGAACUCGUUACAUUCCUUUGAUUAAAACUUUUUAAUAUGGGGAAUUCCCCUUGGCGAAGAGAAUACAAAAUGAUUGAGUUUCGUCCAUCAUAAAAAGCUUCUACAAGAAUUACUGAGAAUAAUUACAAGGUGGACCUUAAAAGCCAAGAAAGGAUAAUCUGCCGUUUCCAACUUUGGAUCUUAUUCCUGUGAUUAUCAAUUAUAUAAGAUUGAAUCGCAGUUGACGCUAUUUCCUAAAAACUUGGCCAGUUGUUUAACUAUAUGAAAUUCCGGAAAUCUUUAGAUGUGAAAAUGUCAUUUCUUCCUAUAAGAAAGGUUAUUAUAGUCUUGAAAACCUGAUUGUUGGAUGGAACCACCCCUUUCACUUCUUAUACAAAAGAUCGGUUUAUAAACUGAAUAAAACCAGUAAUGCACAUUCUUUUAAGACGUCUUUCAUACUGACUUGAAAAGGUUGUCUCAGGAAAUAUUUCUUAAAAAUAAGUGUCUUUAAAAUAAAGGAAAA